RNAcentral lists this ribosomal RNA (425 nucleotides) under uncultured bacterium. Its description in RNAcentral is "partial 16S ribosomal RNA". It matches the Rfam family "Bacterial small subunit ribosomal RNA", at positions 354 to 796 of the family's 1533-position model. The record is from RNAcentral.
GUCGAGAAUCUUGCGCAAUGGGCGAAAGCCUGACGCAGCCAUGCCGCGUGAAUGAUGAAGGUCUUAGGAUUGUAAAAUUCUUUCACCGGGGACGAUAAUGACGGUACCCGGAGAAGAAGCCCCGGCUAACUUCGUGCCAGCAGCCGCGGUAAUACGAAGGGGGCUAGCGUUGCUCGGAAUUACUGGGCGUGAAGGGAGCGUAGGCGGAUAGUUUAGUCAGAGGUGAAAGCCCAGGGAUCAACCUUGGAAUUGCCUUUGAUACUGGCUAUCUUGAGUAUGGAAGAGGUAUGUGGAACUCCGAGUGUAGAGGUGAAAUUCGUAGAUAUUCGGAAGAACACCAGUGGCGAAGGCGACAUACUGGUCCAUUACUGACGCUGAGGCUCGAAAGCGUGGGGAGCAAACAGGAUUAGAAACCCUGGUAGUCC